AUUGCCCUAGUAACGGCGAGUGAAGCGGCAACAGCUCAAAUUUGAAAUCUGGCCCUUGGGUCCGAGUUGUAAUUUGUAGAGGAUGCUUUUGGUGCGGUACCUUCCGAGUUCCCUGGAACGGGACGCCAUAGAGGGUGAGAGCCCCGUCUGGUUGGAUACCAAUCCUCUGUAAAGCUCCUUCGACGAGUCGAGUAGUUUGGGAAUGCUGCUCUAAAUGGGAGGUAUAUGUCUUCUAAAGCUAAAUAUUGGCCAGAGACCGAUAGCGCACAAGUAGAGUGAUCGAAAGAUGAAAAGCACUUUGAAAAGAGGGUUAAACAGUACGUGAAAUUGUUGAAAGGGAAGCGCUUGUGACCAGACUUGGGCCCGGUUAAUCAUCCACCGUUCUCGGUGGUGCACUUGGCCGGCCCAGGCCAGCAUCAGUUCGGCGCGGGGGAUAAAGGCUUCGGGAAUGUGGCUCCUCCGGGAGUGUUAUAGCCCGUUGUGUAAUACCCUGUACUGGACUGAGGUUCGCGCAUCUGCAAGGAUGCUGGCGUAAUGGUCAUCAGCGACCCGUCUUGAAACACGGACCAAGGAGUCGUCUUCGUAUGCGAGUGUUCGGGUGUUAAACCCCUACGCGUAAUGAAAGUGAACGCAGGUGAGAGCUUCGGCGCAUCAUCGACCGAUCCUGAUGUUCUCGGAUGGAUUUGAGUAAGAGCAUACGGAGCCGGACCCGAAAGAAGGUGAACUAUGCCUGUAUAGGGUGAAGCCAGAGGAAACUCUGGUGGAGGCUCGCAGCGGUUCUGACGUGCAAAUCGAUCGUCAAAUAUGGGCAUGGGGGCGAAAGACUAAU
RNAcentral lists this ribosomal RNA (829 nucleotides) under Microcera rubra. RNAcentral's name for it is "eukaryotic LSU rRNA". It matches the Rfam family "Eukaryotic large subunit ribosomal RNA", at positions 74 to 935 of the family's 3401-position model. Lineage: Eukaryota; Fungi; Ascomycota; Sordariomycetes; Hypocreales; Nectriaceae. The record is from RNAcentral.